GACGAACGCUGGCGGCGUGCUUAACACAUGCAAGUCGAACGGUAAGGCCCCUUCGGGGGUACACGAGUGGCGAACGGGUGAGUAACACGUGAGCAACCUGCCCUUGACUCUGGGAUAACAGUUGGAAACAGCUGCUAAUACCGGAUACGACCUUCGAUGACAUCAUCCGGAGGUGGAAAGCGCUUUAGCGGUCAAGGAUGGACUCGCGGCCUAUCAGCUUGUUGGUGAGGUAACGGCUCACCAAGGCUUCGACGGGUAGCCGGCCUGAGAGGGCGACCGGCCACACUGGGACUGAGAUACGGCCCAGACUCCUACGGGAGGCAGCAGUGGGGAAUAUUGCACAAUGGGCGCAAGCCUGAUGCAGCAACGCCGCGUGCGGGAUGACGGCCUUCGGGUUGUAAACCGCUUUCAGUUCCGACGAAGCGCAAGUGACGGUAGGAACAGAAGAAGGACCGGCCAACUACGUGCCAGCAGCCGCGGUGAUACGUAGGGUCCGAGCGUUGUCCGGAAUUAUUGGGCGUAAAGGGCUUGUAGGCGGUUUGUUACGUCGGAAGUGAAAACUCAGGGCUUAACCCUGAGCCUGCUUCCGAUACGGGCAGACUAGAGGGAUGCAGGGGAGAACGGAAUUCCUGGUGGAGCGGUGGAAUGCGCAGAUAUCAGGAGGAACACCGGUGGCGAAGGCGGUUCUCUGGGCAUUUCCUGACGCUGAGAAGCGAAAGCGUGGGGAGCAAACAGGCUUAGAUACCCUGGUAGUCCACGCCGUAAACGGUGGGCACUAGGUGUGGGGAACAUUCCACGUUCUCCGUGCCGCAGCUAACGCAUUAAGUGCCCCGCCUGGGGAGUACGGCCGCAAGGCUAAAACUCAAAGGAAUUGACGGGGGCCCGCACAAGCGGCGGAGCAUGCGGAUUAAUUCGAUGCGACGCGAAGAACCUUACCUGGGUUUGACAUAUACCGGAAAGCUGCAGAGAUGUAGCCCCCGCAAGGUCGGUAUACAGGUGGUGCAUGGCUGUCGUCAGCUCGUGUCGUGAGAUGUUGGGUUAAGUCCCGCAACGAGCGCAACCCUCGUCCUAUGUUGCCAGCGGAUCACGCCGGGGACUCAUAGGAG
RNAcentral lists this ribosomal RNA (1106 nucleotides) under uncultured Actinomycetes bacterium. Its description in RNAcentral is "bacterial SSU rRNA". It matches the Rfam family "Bacterial small subunit ribosomal RNA", at positions 28 to 1147 of the family's 1533-position model. Lineage: Bacteria; Bacillati; Actinomycetota; Actinomycetes. The record is from RNAcentral.